RNAcentral lists this ribosomal RNA (372 nucleotides) under uncultured bacterium. RNAcentral describes it as "bacterial SSU rRNA". It matches the Rfam family "Bacterial small subunit ribosomal RNA", at positions 527 to 898 of the family's 1533-position model. The record is from RNAcentral.
GAAGGUGGCUAGCGUUAUUCGGAUUCACUGGGCAUAAAGCGCGCGUAGGCGGCUCUUCAAGUCGGAGGUGAAAGCCUGCAGCUCAACUGCGGAACUGCCUUCGAUACUGUCGAGCUUGAGUGCAGGAGGGGUGAUCGGAACUCCAGGUGUAGCGGUGAAAUGCGUAGAUAUCUGGAGGAACACCGGAGGCGAAGGCGGAUCACUGGACUGCCACUGACGCUGAGGCGCGAAAGCUAGGGGAGCAAACAGGAUUAGAUACCCUGGUAGUCCUAGCUGUAAACGAUGGGUACUAGGCAGCGGGGGCCCGAUGCUCUCGCUGUCGAAGCGAAUGUGCUAAGUACCCCGCCUGGGGAGUACGGCCGCAAGGCUGAA